RNAcentral lists this non-coding RNA (101 nucleotides) under Paenibacillus uliginis. RNAcentral's name for it is "TPP sequence". It matches the Rfam family "TPP riboswitch aptamer (THI element)". Rfam says of the family: Vitamin B(1) in its active form thiamin pyrophosphate (TPP) is an essential coenzyme that is synthesised by coupling of pyrimidine and thiazole moieties in bacteria. The previously detected thiamin-regulatory element, thi box was extended, resulting in a new, highly conserved RNA secondary structure, the THI element, which is widely distributed in eubacteria and also occurs in some archaea. Lineage: Bacteria; Bacillati; Bacillota; Bacilli; Caryophanales; Paenibacillaceae. The record is from RNAcentral. RNAcentral also lists the same sequence under 1 other name.
AAGCUGAACUAGGGGUGCCUCGUGCUGAGAGACGAAUUGUUCGUCAACCCUUACUACCCGAUCUAGGUCAUACUAGCGUGGGGAAGUGGAGCUUUAUGUUU